Molecule: ribosomal RNA, 950 nt
Filed under: Salmonella enterica subsp. enterica serovar Bovismorbificans
Lineage: Bacteria; Pseudomonadati; Pseudomonadota; Gammaproteobacteria; Enterobacterales; Enterobacteriaceae
Description: partial 23S ribosomal RNA
Rfam family: Bacterial large subunit ribosomal RNA
Source: RNAcentral
GACCGAUAGUGAACCAGUACCGUGAGGGAAAGGCGAAAAGAACCCCGGCGAGGGGAGUGAAAAAGAACCUGAAACCGUGUACGUACAAGCAGUGGGAGCACCCUUCGGGGUGUGACUGCGUACCUUUUGUAUAAUGGGUCAGCGACUUAUAUUCUGUAGCAAGGUUAACCGAAUAGGGGAGCCGGAGGGAAACCGAGUCUUAAUUGGGCGUUAAGUUGCAGGGUAUAGACCCGAAACCCGGUGAUCUAGCCAUGGGCAGGUUGAAGGUUGGGUAACACUAACUGGAGGACCGAACCGACUAAUGUUGAAAAAUUAGCGGAUGACCUGUGGCUGGGGGUGAAAGGCCAAUCAAACCGGGAGAUAGCUGGUUCUCCCCGAAAGCUAUUUAGGUAGCGCCUCGUGAAUUCAUCUCCGGGGGUAGAGCACUGUUUCGGCUAGGGGGCCAUCCCGGCUUACCAACCCGAUGCAAACUGCGAAUACCGGAGAAUGUUAUCACGGGAGACACACGGCGGGUGCUAACGUCCGUCGUGAAGAGGGAAACAACCCAGACCGCCAGCUAAGGUCCCAAAGUCAUGGUUAAGUGGGAAACGAUGUGGGAAGGCCCAGACAGCCAGGAUGUUGGCUUAGAAGCAGCCAUCAUUUAAAGAAAGCGUAAUAGCUCACUGGUCGAGUCGGCCUGCGCGGAAGAUGUAACGGGGCUAAACCAUGCACCGAAGCUGCGGCAGCGAACGUAUCACUUAAAGCGAUUCAGCGGGUUACGAUUGACGGAGCGAAGCGACGUCAAAGCGUAUACAAAGUCGAGUCGGUUUAAGGAUACGUUCGUUGGGUAGGGGAGCGUUCUGUAAGCCUGUGAAGGUGGCCUGUGAGGGUUGCUGGAGGUAUCAGAAGUGCGAAUGCUGACAUAAGUAACGAUAAAGCGGGUGAAAAGCCCGCUCGCCGGAAGACCAAGG